GAACACGGCCUUCUGGAUCGUCUUCUCCGUCAUCCACAUCGUGGCCACCCUGCUGCUGAGCACCCAGCUCUACUACAUGGGGCGCUGGAAGCUGGACUCGGGCAUCCUGCGCAGGAUCCUGCACGUGCUGUACACGGACUGCGUCCGGCAGUGCAGUGGGCCCAUGUACGUGGAUCGCAUGGUGCUCUUGGUCAUGGGAAACAUCAUCAACUGGUCGCU
Aptenodytes forsteri (emperor penguin) is the source of this 219-nucleotide long non-coding RNA. RefSeq lists it as uncharacterized. The record is from RefSeq and is a predicted model, not a curated record. Lineage: Eukaryota; Metazoa; Chordata; Aves; Sphenisciformes; Spheniscidae. The transcript is spliced from 3 exons.